GCGCCUCAUCAGGGGAGUCCCGGCGAGGGGGUGAGAUACUGCUAACAGCACGCAGUGACCCGUUGAACCUGAUCCAGUUCAUACUGGCGUAGGGAGGGUGCGAGGCUCUGCGG
Mesorhizobium sp. SOD10 is the source of this 113-nucleotide non-coding RNA. The record is from Rfam. NCBI's taxonomy places the organism in Bacteria, Pseudomonadati, Pseudomonadota, Alphaproteobacteria, Hyphomicrobiales, Phyllobacteriaceae.